This 75-nucleotide transfer RNA is filed under the name Sphaerodactylus townsendi. RNAcentral describes it as "tRNA-Ala". The record is from RNAcentral. Lineage: Eukaryota; Metazoa; Chordata; Lepidosauria; Squamata; Sphaerodactylidae.
GAAAAUUCCAUGGCUCAGUGGUAGAGCAUCUGCUUGGCACACAGAGGGUCCCUGGUUCAAACCCCACCAUCUCCC